GUCGACAUGGCCGAGUGGUCUAAGGCGGUUGAUUCGAAAUCAGUUGGGGUUAACCCACGCAGGUUCGAAUCCUGCUGUCGACG
This is a transfer RNA of Nematocida sp., 83 nucleotides long. It matches the Rfam family "tRNA". Rfam says of the family: Transfer RNA (tRNA) molecules are approximately 80 nucleotides in length. Their secondary structure includes four short double-helical elements and three loops (D, anti-codon, and T loops). NCBI's taxonomy places the organism in Eukaryota, Fungi, Microsporidia. The record is from Rfam.